AUAAAGCUUUAUAUUAUCAGCUAUGAUUUAAUUAAAUUAAAAAGAAAUUAAAGGUUUUAAUAAGCUAUUAUAUUUUAUUGGGGAGAUAUAAGUAUAAUUUUAUGUAACUGCUUAUAAGUCGAUACAUUGAUAAUUGGUUUAAAUUUUAAUGAUCCUUUGAAUAAAGAUUCAAGACCA
RNAcentral lists this ribosomal RNA (177 nucleotides) under Cancer pagurus (edible crab). RNAcentral describes it as "partial 16S ribosomal RNA". Lineage: Eukaryota; Metazoa; Arthropoda; Malacostraca; Decapoda; Cancridae. The record is from RNAcentral.